This 285-nucleotide unclassified non-coding RNA is filed under the name Hevea brasiliensis (rubber tree). Lineage: Eukaryota; Viridiplantae; Streptophyta; Magnoliopsida; Malpighiales; Euphorbiaceae. The record is from RNAcentral.
CAUGUUGACCAUGGUAAAACUUCACUUUUAGAUGCUUUGCGUCAAACAUCAGUAGCAGCCAAGGAAGCUGGGGGGAUAACUCAGCAUCUGGGUGCUUUUGUUGUGGGCAUGCCAUCAGGGUCAUCAAUCACAUUCCUUGAUACUCCUGGUCAUGCUGCUUUUAGUGCGAUGCGAGCAAGAGGUGCAGCAGUGACAGAUAUAGUUGUGCUUGUUGUUGCUGCUGAUGAUGGGGUGAUGCCUCAAACUCUUGAAGCCAUGUCCCAUGCUAAAGCAGCUAAUGUACCA